UAUCCUGAAAAUGAAGACAACUGCCUUCUUCUCACAGAAGAUUGAGCUCAAAGAAUUCAUGAAGACAGAGAAGCUGAGAAGAAGUGGCCUUGGGAAGAAUGACUUCUUGCAGAGCUGCAGUUCUAGCCUGUUAUCCCCUUAAAGAAGCACUUGUCAAGCAGAGUGUGAGAACUUAGACACAGCAACCAGUAGUAGUGAAACAUCAAGUGACCAUGCCUGGAGGUAG
This 226-nucleotide long non-coding RNA is filed under the name Homo sapiens (human). RNAcentral describes it as "non-protein coding lnc-GLRA3-2:1". The record is from RNAcentral. Lineage: Eukaryota; Metazoa; Chordata; Mammalia; Primates; Hominidae.